AGAGUAAAAUAGUACGUGAAAUUGUUGAAAGGGAAACGAUUGAAGUCAGUCAUGCUGGUGGGAAUCAACUUAGGGGAAACUCUGGGUGCACUUCUUCGCUUGGCAGGUCAGCGUCGAUUUUGGACGUCAUAAAAUGAUUGGGGGAAGGUAGCUCCUUCGGGAGUGUUAUAGCCCUUGGUAGAUGUGAUGUCUGGGAUCGAGGAUUGCAACGGAUACUCUUCGGGGCUAGCCGCCUGAUCUCUAAUCGAUGUUGGGUUACGGACAGCACGCUGACCGUGAUCUAAUUAUUGGUUAAAAGGUUAGAGCGUGUGUAAAUUCGUUAAGGAUGUUGACGUAAUGGCUUUAAACGACC
Molecule: ribosomal RNA, 352 nt
Filed under: Paradentiscutata baiana
Lineage: Eukaryota; Fungi; Glomeromycota; Glomeromycetes; Diversisporales; Gigasporaceae
Description: partial large subunit ribosomal RNA
Source: RNAcentral